UUCUCUUUCUCGCGGUCUCUGUGCUGCUGGGUAAUACCUAUCCCCUUGAACGCUUCCUCUACUAUUCCCACCAUUUCCUCCAGGGCCUCCUCUUCCUCUCACUCUACCUCUAUAGUUAUUACUAUAUCCUCCCCUUGUUCUAUCUCUCUCAUGUUGUUCCCUCAAUGGACACUCACUCCUCCAAUGCCCUUCUUCCCUACAAUAUGCGCAUUGGUUCCUACUUAAAGGCUCCCUAUUCCACUUAUUCUCGCUUUUCUCGGUUUACCUGUACACUUCCUUUUCCCUUCUAUCUACACCAGCGAUAGCUACCGCUAACAUAUCUGCCUUCCUUCUCAUCUUACACUCUUCUUCCUUCUUCGUCUCUG
Molecule: non-coding RNA, 365 nt
Organism: Pelobates cultripes (western spadefoot toad)
Lineage: Eukaryota; Metazoa; Chordata; Amphibia; Anura; Pelobatidae
Source: the annotation of a GenBank genome assembly